CCAAGUCGACGGUAGUAUUAUCUUCGGAUAUAUGAGAGUGGCGAACGGGAGAGUACACGUAAGAAUCUACCUUUAGGACGGGGAUAACUUCUGGAAACGGAUGCUAAUACCCGAUAUGCUGUGGAGUGAAAUGAAUUUCGCCUAAAGAUGAUCUUGCGUCUGAUUAGCUAGAUAGGGUGGUAAUGGCGCCCUAUGGCGACGAUCAGUAGCUGGUCUGAGAGGAUGGACAGCCACAUUGGGACUGAGACACGGCCCAAACUCCUACGGGAGGCAGCAGUGGGGAAUUUUCCGCAAUGGGCGAAAGCCUGACGGAGCGACGCUGCGUGAAGGAUGACGGCCUGAGGGUUGUAAACUUCUUUUCUCGAAGAACAAUCAAUGACGGUAUUCGAGGAAUAAGCAUCGGCUAACUCUGUGCCAGCAGCCGCGGUAAGACAGAGGAUGCAAGUGUUAUUCGGAUUGAUCGGGCGUAAAGCGUCUGUAGGCGGUUUAGAAAGUCUUUAGUGAAAUACUUCAGCUCAACUGGGGCUCCGCACCAGAAACUUCUAGACCUUCGAGGGACGUAGAGGUACAGGGAAUUUCCGGUGCAGCGGUGAAAUGCGUAGAUCUCGGAAGGACACAAUAUGGCGAGGCACUGUCCGGG
RNAcentral lists this ribosomal RNA (640 nucleotides) under uncultured cyanobacterium. Its description in RNAcentral is "bacterial SSU rRNA". It matches the Rfam family "Bacterial small subunit ribosomal RNA", at positions 57 to 733 of the family's 1533-position model. The record is from RNAcentral. Lineage: Bacteria; Bacillati; Cyanobacteriota.